CUGUAUGAGUUCAUCCCAAAUGACACACUAUUUUCCAUGUGGGCCCUGGUCAAAAGCAGGGCACUAAAUAUGAACCAGGCUGCCAUUUGGGACAAAGCCUAUGCGUAAAUACAUGAUGAUGGUGUUGUUAUGAAGUUGUAAAGGAGGCUUAUCUGUUGGACUUUGUUCCACGGGAUCAUGAGGAAGUGAGGUAGAGUUGUUUAGUGUGUGUGUGUUUUGCGGGGAGCUGCUGCUGUUGCAGAAGAAAAAUCAGCCCGCGCAGAGAAGCACGAGAUGGAACCUCACUCAACUGUCUAGUUCUCCCCGUUAGUUAAACACUAUCAACCCUUUACUGUGGGAAUUGUGAUCGAAACAACACAAUUAUUAGCUACUUUCAAUGCAACAUACCGAAACAAAACCAACGAUUCAAGAGACUUUGUUGUAGACAGAACUCAACAGAGCAGGAUUCUAUUGCAUUGACAUGCACAUACUCUAGUCUAAACAGACCGGUGCGCCGUAACCAAUCAGAGCUGCAGUAAGGCCUAUAUGCAAAUAAACCACUACCAUACCUGUGCCUUCACGUUGAAAGUGACUGUCUUUACAGAAUCAGCGGUCGUGAGUAGAUGAGCUGUUUUGAGAUCAUAUUCUUUGCUCGUUGAAGCACUCGGGGAGUUUCAAACUCAGAGCACCCUUUCCCAGCCACGAGCAGAGCAACAGCCCCUUACCUUUUUGGAGUCCUGGAGGAGACGAGGUACUGUGGACUGGAGUCCUGGAGGAGACGAGGUACUGUGGACUGUGUGAGGCUAAAGAUCAGAGCUGCUACUCCCUCGAGACAGUGAGAAAGUGAACCAGGUAGGAAAGAGAGCGAGAACGAGCGCGCACACAGAGGGGAGGAGUGGGGCAGAUGAGGUAACAACGUUAUCUGAAGUGGCUGAAUAGUGAACACAAGCCUGAUGGAAAAUAACUCCACCCGUUGGUCAAUCACUAGUUCCAGUGUAAUUGCAUCAUCACUGUGUGACGACGAAUCACAGUAUAAAAGUAAGCAGGAAAUUCCACUCACAACAGGGGCAUUUCACAAAUGACAUUGAGCCCUGGUCAAAUGUAGUGUACUACCGUAUCUAGGGAACAUGGUGUCAUUUGGGACACAGGCCUGAAGACUCUGAUUCCCAUCAAUAGACCAGAGACCUCUGACUCACUAAAGGGUUUUAAAGUGAAGAGGUGGAGGGGUGUGAAUAUCCUGUGUUCGUGUGUGUGUGUGUGUUGAGGGGAAAUUGUGGCUGUGGUGGUUACAGACUGAAACAACGCAAAGAGGAUUCGCCAUGAGUCCAAAACACUGGAUACGGAGACCGAGGCCGGGACUCUGCACACCCAAGCUGAGGGGACGCGGCACCUGGGAGAGAGACUGCAGCAUAUCCACUUCUGGAAUCGGAGCUGCAGCGGCACAUCGAGAAGCUGGUGGCCGAGACAGACCUCCUCCUGGGACAGAAGAGGAGGCUGUUGAAGGCGCUGGACGCCACUAAGAUCCCGUUUGCCAUCGCCACGGAUAACCUAACCUGUCGGGAACUGCGACCGCGUAGAGGAGGAGCUGCUGAUGAUACAAAAAUAACACAGACUUGUCUUUGCUCUAGUUCACCGAAAUACUUGUAUCAUUAUUACAUGUUGCCUAUACAUUAUUUCACUAGAAACCAAUCUGAAAAUAAGGUGAUGGUUGUGUUUGUGUACCGCAGGAGGUGGAGUUAAUCAGGAGCAUCCAGGCUCUGUUGAAGAGAACGCUGAGUCAGGCUGUCAAUCAAAUCAAGAACAGAACGUACAUAAACCAAAAAUCAACUCGCUGAUGGGACGUUCCAUUAUAAGGAGAGUGGCCAGCUCCAAGG
Oncorhynchus gorbuscha (pink salmon) is the source of this 1853-nucleotide long non-coding RNA. RefSeq lists it as uncharacterized. The record is from RefSeq and is a predicted model, not a curated record. Lineage: Eukaryota; Metazoa; Chordata; Actinopteri; Salmoniformes; Salmonidae. The transcript has 4 exons.